GAUGAAGAACGUAGCGAAAUGCGAUAAGUAAUGUGAAUUGCAGAAUUCAGUGAAUCAUCGAAUCUUUGAACGCACAUUGCGCCCUCUGGUAUUCCGGGGGGCAUGCCUGUUCGAGCGUCAUUAUAACCACUCGAGCUCUCGCUUGGUAUUGGGGUUCGCGGUUCCGCGGCCCCUAAAAUCAGUGGCGGUGCCUGUCGGCUCUACGCGUAGUAAUACUCCUCGCGAUUGAGUCCGGUAGGUCUACUUGCCAGCAACCCCCAAUUUUUACAGGUUGACCUCGGAUCAGGUAGGGCUACCCGCUGAACUUAAGCAUAUCAAUAAGCGGCGGA
RNAcentral lists this unclassified non-coding RNA (329 nucleotides) under soil metagenome. RNAcentral's name for it is "partial contains 5.8S ribosomal RNA, internal transcribed spacer 2, and large subunit ribosomal RNA". The stretch from base 1 to 120 matches the Rfam family "5.8S ribosomal RNA", at positions 35 to 154 of the family's 154-position model. The record is from RNAcentral.